RNAcentral lists this ribosomal RNA (403 nucleotides) under bacterium. RNAcentral's name for it is "partial 16S ribosomal RNA". It matches the Rfam family "Bacterial small subunit ribosomal RNA", at positions 355 to 776 of the family's 1533-position model. The record is from RNAcentral.
UGGGGAAUAUUGCACAAUGGGGGAAACCCUGAUGCAGCGACGCCGCGUGAACGAAGAAGGUAUUCGUAUCGUAAAGUUCUGUCCUAUGGGACGAUAAUGACAGUACCAUAGAAGAAAGCUCCGGCUAAAUACGUGCCAGCAGCCGCGGUAAUACGUAUGGAGCGAGCGUUGUCCGUAAUUAUUGGGCGUAAAGGGUACGCAGGCGGUUUAAUAAGUCGAAUGUUAAAGAUCGGGGCUCAACCCCGUAAAGCAUUGGAAACUGAUAAACUUGAGUAGUGGAGAGGAAAGUGGAAUUCCUAGUGUAGUGGUGAAGUACGUAGAUAUUAGGAGGAAUACCAGUAGCGAAGGCGACUUUCUGGACACAAACUGACGCUGAGGUACGAAAGCGUGGGGAGCAAACAGG